AGCAGCCGCGGUAAUUCCAGCUCCAAUAGCGUAUAUUAAAGUUGUUGCAGUUAAAAAGCUCGUAGUUGAAUUUCGGGGUCAGCAGGUUGGUCGUGCCACUGGUAUGUACUGGUCUCGCUGAUUCCUCCCUCUUGUAGAACCGUAAUGCCAUUAAGUUGGUGUUGCGGGGAAACAGGACUGUUACUUUGAAAAAAUUAGAGUGUUUAAAGCAGGCUAACGCUUGAAUACAUUAGCAUGGAAUAAUGAAAUAGGACGAUCGAUCCUAUUUUGUUGGUUUCUAGGGUUGACGUAAUGAUUAAUAGGGAUAGUUGGGGGCAGUUAGUAUUCAAUUGUCAGAGGUGAAAUUCUUGGAUUUAUUGAAGACUAACUACUGCGAAAGCAAUUUGCCUAAGGAUGUUUUACAUUAAUCUAAGAACGAAAGUUAGGGGAUCGAAGACGAUCAGAUACCGUCGUAGUCUUAACCAUAAACUAUGCCGACUAGGGAUCGGAUGAUGUUAAUUUUUUAAUGUACUCAUUCGGC
Molecule: ribosomal RNA, 520 nt
Filed under: uncultured Glomus
Lineage: Eukaryota; Fungi; Glomeromycota; Glomeromycetes; Glomerales; Glomeraceae
Description: SSU rRNA
Rfam family: Eukaryotic small subunit ribosomal RNA
Source: RNAcentral